This is a long non-coding RNA of Artibeus jamaicensis (Jamaican fruit-eating bat), 1555 nucleotides long. RefSeq lists it as uncharacterized. Lineage: Eukaryota; Metazoa; Chordata; Mammalia; Chiroptera; Phyllostomidae. The transcript has 3 exons. The record is from RefSeq and is a predicted model, not a curated record.
UCCAUCCCCCCAAUCUGCAAGUCUGACUGCCAGACCUGGGAGACCUUGCCACUCUACUCCUUUUCAAAGAAAGGCCUUACCUUGAUUCCAUGUGUUUCAGAACCAGCUGUGUCAUCUACAAGAGAAGGUCAGAGUUAAGCCUGGACAAAGAGUCAAAGGUUAUCAAAUACAUUUGGGAAGCCCUGUGAUCAAAUGAACCAAAACUGAAAGAUCAACAUGUAAAAUAAUAUGAAAGAUUUUAGUGCAUCCACCCCCUCUCUUAGGUUGAGAGCAACUGACGUCCCUCUGGGAAGGCAGCCCUCCACAGCCAGUCCCUGCUUCCAAGAUGAGACUGAGCCUCCUGCUGCUGCCCAGCUACGAUCUCGAUGCAUGAAAUCGGGGAUCACGCCUGAUUCACUGCUGCGGGUCCACUGGCCUAAUGGAAAGGUCACAAGGGCUGCCACAUGCGGUUGAUACUUCCAUGUGCUGAGCCGGGUGCCCAGGGGUGGGCUGGGGGCUGAAAGCCCAGGGUUCACUCACAAGCCAUUUAGAGGGCUCUCGCCAUUCAGAGGAAAGGAAAACAUUGUGUUCACACAAAAGUACCAUCUACUCACCAAGCAGUGAGUCGUGUCCAUUCUUAAGUAGCCCCUUUCCCGAACUGCCCCAAAAGGGUGAUUUUUUAAUUCAAUCAAGGGCACAGUAUAGGACAGCCUUGCACUAGUCAUAUCUAUAAAUUCUUACACUGAAUGGCACCAGACACAACACUUAGUCCAGUCCUUUUUUUUAUAAUCCUCACCUGAGAACAGGCUUAUUGAUUUUAGAGAGAGGGAAAAGGAGGGAAAGAAACAUUGAUGUGAGAAAGAAAUAUUGAUCAGUUGCCUCACCUGUGCACCCUGACCAGGGACUUAACCCAAAACCUGGCUGUGUGCCCUGACCCGGAAUUGAGCCCAUCACCUUCCAGUUUACAGGAUGGCAUUCUAAUCAACUGAGCUCCAUUGGCCAGGGCUUAGCCCAACACUUUUAAUGCAGAUGAAGAAUCUGAAAUUUAAGGAAGUUAAAUGCAUCCCAGCACUGUCCAACUAACUAGUAGCUGAGCUGGGGUCAGAAAUAUACAUGCAUGUGAACUUCAGGUCAACAAACACAAGGAGAGGACCCAACCCCGCCCCCAGAAUUUAUUUAUAAAAAAUUGUGUAUUUAUUCUUACAUGUCUAAACUUCGGUCACAUUCAAAGCACUCUCCAUUUGAUGCAAUGCACCUAUUGAGACACUUUUUCUACUGUUCAAAACAGUUUUUGAAUUUGUCCAUUUUGAUGCCUUUUUUUGUUUCACCUUUUCCAUUUUGGCAAAAUGUUUCCCUUUGAGGACCUUUUUCAUCAGGGAAACUAACAAACUAAAAAAGUCACCUGGGGCAAGAUCAGGUAAAUAGGGAGGGUGGGGCAUGGGUGUCAUGCCAUUUUUGAUUAAACACUGCUGAACACCCAAGCACAGUGAGGACUCGUAAAUGGUCUAUCACGAAACAGGCAUCGAAAGAGUCUUUUAAAAAAAUUCACUGAAGAAGAAUGCAGCCUCUCACAACA